CCUGCAGCUAGGGUGCAGACAAAUAUGAGUUGCUGUCUGUUACCUCUGUUUACCAAAUUUAGUUUAAUCCAUCCAGAAACAUGAGCUUGACUGUAAAACAUUUUUUAUGACAGUUGGACACAGGCUGUUGUCACUGGAUCUCUCCCAUGUUGCAAUGGGAUGCAGAUACAGACAGAAGGAUUUAGAGACAGCAGGUCAUCAACUACAGCUCUGCAGUGAAGAUCUCUUACAGCUGGAGGAAGAGCGAGCAGGGUCAGGUGAGAUAUUCAAGGACUGCACACAUAUAAUCUCAGCUCGUCCUCCAGAAGAGCUUGCAGCAACUGUUUGUUUCUCUCUUUGAUUCAGCUGAUGAUGGCAGACAGUACACUGCUUCUUCCUUCGUAAGCCUGAAAACAGAGAAGGGAAUUAACUGAACGGACUUUGAGAGCAAGAUUGUCUGUAACCAUUAGGACUGUUAGAUCCUUAGGGUAUUGUAGAACAAAUCACUGUCAGCGACACACAAAACUAGACUUGGAUCCUAACAUCAAACCUUUCAGAAGACAUUUAAGUUAAUUCCCUCAGUUUAUGCCUUAGCAGGCGUGGGGCCUCCCUUGGGCCCUUUAGGACAGGAAUGGGGUGCUACAUCAGCUGGGGAUCUGACACUGCUGUGCACAUACAUGGGUUUGCUCCCUUCAGGCAGCAUGGAUCUUGGAAAGAAGCACCAGAUCUGCAGGGCAUAUGUUUCAUCAUGGCCACCUCUGCUGUAAAGUCACACUUACUGAUACCACCUUAAGCACUGAUUAUUUCUAGUCGAAGACAUUUCCCCCACAGUUUUUCUUGGCAUUUACAAGCAAGGUACCCUGAGGAGUUACUUCUCAAAAAGGGUUUUACCAUCAGCUUUACUUGGUACAACUUAACUCCCUGAUUUAAACACUUCUUUCCUGAUAUGGUCACUCCUACAACUUUCUCUUUUACAGCUAAAAAUAAUUACUGUCUAUUCCAGUUUUUUGUUGUUGUUGUUGUUGCUCAUCCAUAUUGUUGCAAAUCUGAAUAAAAGAUGAUGUGUUCUUGUUCGCA
This is a non-coding RNA of Meleagris gallopavo (turkey), 1056 nucleotides long. Lineage: Eukaryota; Metazoa; Chordata; Aves; Galliformes; Phasianidae. The record is from RefSeq and is a predicted model, not a curated record.